GGGAUAUUUGGGAAGAAAUUCUGAUGGAGUUUUAGAACAUGAAGCGAGAUUGGAAAUACAAGUUCUGAUUGGGAAGAUGUUGCGAAUCCUGCAGACGAGUAAAGACUCCGAGAGAUACAAACCAUGCAAGAGGUGGUCAACCAGGUGGCUCAGCGGCAGCCCUGAGUGCAGGCCUGCAUGUGGCUUAGUCCGGUGGAGAAGCUUCACCCGGUGAACACCCCAGGCGUUCUGGAAGGCUGUGUUGCAGGAGGCGAGUAUCAGAGGUUUCUCCCUGCAGCCAGCGAGGCUGCGGCUCUGCCUCGCAGCUCUGGAAAUGCUAAGCAGAUUUAUUUACUUAUUUAUUAGAUGUAUUCAUGAGUCCAUGCAGCAGGAAGUGGAGCCGUCACAGGGUACGAAGCGGGGACAAGUGCAGCAUCGUGAGCGUGUACAGAGGGAAGUUGACAGUGGGGAGAGGCUUUGCUGAGGAAGUGGCAUUUGGAAGAGGAAGAAUGAGGCUACUGAAAAUCUCCUUGCAGACUGGUACCGGCCCACAAAUGUACCAUUAGGAAGCUGUUCUCUUCAAGAGCAGGCUUGGAAGCUAGAGAGGACUGAGAUUG
This 596-nucleotide long non-coding RNA is filed under the name Rhinopithecus roxellana (golden snub-nosed monkey). RNAcentral's name for it is "lncRNA (ENSRROG00000046002.1)". The record is from RNAcentral. Lineage: Eukaryota; Metazoa; Chordata; Mammalia; Primates; Cercopithecidae.